GUAGUCCACGCCCUAAACUAUGUCAACUGGUUGUCGGGGAAGCAAUUCCUUGGUAACGAAGCUAACGCGUGAAGUUGACCGCCUGGGGAGUACGGCCGCAAGGUUAAAACUCAAAGGAAUUGACGGGGACCCGCACAAGCGGUGGAUUAUGUGGAUUAAUUCGAUGCAACGCGAAAAACCUUACCUACCCUUGACAUGUACGGAAUCCCCCAGAGAUGGGGGAGUGCCCGAAAGGGAGCCGUAACACAGGUGCUGCAUGGCUGUCGUCAGCUCGUGUCGUGAGAUGUUGGGUUAAGUCCCGCAACGAGCGCAACCCUUGCCAUUAGUUGCUACAUUCAGUUGGGCACUCUAAUGGGACUGCCGGUGACAAACCGGAGGAAGGUGGGGAUGACGUCAAGUCCUCAUGGCCCUUAUGGGUAGGGCUUCACACGUAAUACAAUGGCCGGUACAGAGGGCAGCCAACCCGCGAGGGGGAGCUAAUCCCAGAAAGCCGGUCGUAGUCCGGAUUGUAGUCUGAAU
Molecule: ribosomal RNA, 519 nt
Filed under: uncultured Alcaligenaceae bacterium
Lineage: Bacteria; Pseudomonadati; Pseudomonadota; Betaproteobacteria; Burkholderiales; Alcaligenaceae
Description: bacterial SSU rRNA
Rfam family: Bacterial small subunit ribosomal RNA
Source: RNAcentral